Molecule: ribosomal RNA, 433 nt
Filed under: uncultured bacterium
Lineage: Bacteria
Description: partial 16S ribosomal RNA
Rfam family: Bacterial small subunit ribosomal RNA
Source: RNAcentral
AACGAACGCUGGCGGCAUGCCUAACACAUGCAAGUCGAACGAGACCUUCGGGUCUAGUGGCGCACGGGUGCGUAACGCGUUGGAACCUGCCCUUAUGUUCUGAAUAACUCCCCGAAAGGGGUGCUAAUACCGGAUAAUCUCUUCGGACCAAAGAUUUAUCGCCUUUGGAUGGGCCCGCGUUGGAUUAGCUAGUUGGUAGGGUAAAAGCCUACCAAGGCGACGAUCCAUAGCUGGUCUGAGAGGAUGAUCAGCCACACUGGGACUGAGACACGGCCCAGACUCCUACGGGAGGCAGCAGUGGGGAAUAUUGGACAAUGGGCGAAAGCCUGAGCCAGCAAUGCCGCGUGAGUGAUGAAGGCCUUAGGGUUGUAAAGCUCUUUUACCCGGGAUGAUAAUGACAGUACCGGGAGAAUAAGCGCCGGCUAACUCCGUG